RNAcentral lists this ribosomal RNA (203 nucleotides) under Megalops cyprinoides (Indo-Pacific tarpon). RNAcentral's name for it is "partial 16S ribosomal RNA". The record is from RNAcentral. Lineage: Eukaryota; Metazoa; Chordata; Actinopteri; Elopiformes; Megalopidae.
UAAACAGCUAGCCUAACCCCCCAAACCCAAACAUACAACCAUAAAUACCACCACACAACAAGACUCACCAACUAAACCAUUUUCCCCUUCUAGUAUAGGAGACAGAAAAAAGAGACCAGAGCAAUAGAAAAAGUACCGCAAGGGAAAGCUGAAAAAGAAAUGAAAAAACCCAUAAAAGCAAAAAAAAGCAGAGACGCAACCUC